This 253-nucleotide ribosomal RNA is filed under the name uncultured bacterium. RNAcentral describes it as "partial 16S ribosomal RNA". It matches the Rfam family "Bacterial small subunit ribosomal RNA", at positions 524 to 776 of the family's 1533-position model. The record is from RNAcentral.
UACGAAGGGGGCUAGCGUUGCUCGGAAUCACUGGGCGUAAAGGGUGCGUAGGCGGGUCUUUAAGUCAGGGGUGAAAUCCUGGAGCUCAACUCCAGAACUGCCUUUGAUACUGAAGAUCUUGAGUUCGGGAGAGGUGAGUGGAACUGCGAGUGUAGAGGUGAAAUUCGUAGAUAUUCGCAAGAACACCAGUGGCGAAGGCGGCUCACUGGGCCGAAACUGACGCUGAGGAGCGAAAGCGUGGGGAGCGAACAGG